RNAcentral lists this long non-coding RNA (307 nucleotides) under Vigna radiata. Its description in RNAcentral is "long non-coding RNA (VRAD_LNC012784)". The record is from RNAcentral. Lineage: Eukaryota; Viridiplantae; Streptophyta; Magnoliopsida; Fabales; Fabaceae.
UUAAAUUGAAGAUGGAGUUGGAUAAUAGUUCAAGGGGUUGUUGAGGAGAUUGUAUAAAAAAAAAUAGUUUCAAAAUAGAAGAAAUUAAAGGUGCAUCACUUUUUCUUGAAUAAUGACUCAAGCCGAUAUUUGAAUAGUUUGGGCAAAAGUUGCGAAAAAUAAUUGAAAAAUGGGACGAACACCGCAGUUAUUAAUGAGAAAAAAAAAUUAUGAAAUGCUUAAAGAAUUAUAAAGAUAGCAUAAUAUCCAUAGUCGCUUUAAAGAAAUGGUAUUAUAUAAAAUAGUUGGACCUAUACAUUUUGAAAAC